This 69-nucleotide transfer RNA is filed under the name Zeugopterus punctatus (topknot). RNAcentral describes it as "tRNA-Met". It matches the Rfam family "tRNA". From Rfam's summary of the family: Transfer RNA (tRNA) molecules are approximately 80 nucleotides in length. Their secondary structure includes four short double-helical elements and three loops (D, anti-codon, and T loops). Further hydrogen bonds mediate the characteristic L-shaped molecular structure. tRNAs have two regions of fundamental functional importance: the anti-codon, which is responsible for specific mRNA codon recognition, and the 3' end, to which the tRNAs corresponding amino acid is attached (by aminoacyl-tRNA synthetases). tRNAs cope with the degeneracy of the genetic code in two manners: having more than one tRNA (with a specific anti-codon) for a particular amino acid; and 'wobble' base-pairing, i.e. permitting non-standard base-pairing at the 3rd anti-codon position. Lineage: Eukaryota; Metazoa; Chordata; Actinopteri; Pleuronectiformes; Scophthalmidae. The record is from RNAcentral.
AGUAAGGUCAGCUAACUAAGCUCCUGGGCCCAUACCCCAAAAAUGUGAGUUAAAACCUCGCCCGUACUA